RNAcentral lists this unclassified non-coding RNA (351 nucleotides) under soil metagenome. RNAcentral's name for it is "partial contains 5.8S ribosomal RNA, internal transcribed spacer 2, and large subunit ribosomal RNA". The stretch from base 1 to 120 matches the Rfam family "5.8S ribosomal RNA", at positions 35 to 154 of the family's 154-position model. The record is from RNAcentral.
GAUGAAGAACGCAGCGAAAUGCGAUAAGUAAUGUGAAUUGCAGAAUUCAGUGAAUCAUCGAAUCUUUGAACGCACAUUGCGCCCGCCAGUAUUCUGGCGGGCAUGCCUGUUCGAGCGUCAUUACAACCCUCAGGCCCCCGGGCCUGGCGUUGGGGAUCGGCAGAAGCCCCCUGUGGGCACACGCCGUCCCUCAAAUACAGUGGCGGUCCCGCCGCAGCUUCCAUUGCGUAGUAGCUAACACCUCGCAACUGGAGAGCGGCGCGGCCAUGCCGUAAAACACCCAACUUCUGAAUGUUGACCUCGAAUCAGGUAGGAAUACCCGCUGAACUUAAGCAUAUCAAUAAGGGAGGA